GGGGCUGCUGUAAGAAAUUUCUACAAACUGGAUGGCUUAAAACAAUGAGAAUUUAUUUCUCUCAUAGUUCUGGAGGCCAGAAGUCCAAAAAUUAAGAUAUCAGCAGGAGCACAUUUCCUAUUGAGGCUCAAGGGGAGGGUGCGAGCGCAGUCCCCCACUACCACAAAUUAUGCAGUUGAGUUUCCCCCAUUUGGGGAAAUCGCAGGGGUCAGCACAUCCGGAGUGCAAUGGAUAAGCCUCGCCCUGAGGAAACCACCUUCGUGAUCAUGGUAUCUCCCCCGCCAGGAAAUCCUGAAUUAUAAAAGAAAUGUCAUUAGGAAUCAGUGACACUGAAGUUUGGAAGAGGCAGUUGGAAAUGGUUAUAUGUACCCUUUGACAUACAGAACAAAAAUUAUGGACCUGCGUUUCUAAAGUAUGCAACAAAUUCUUUGUCAAAUUUGCUGUAAACAGAGAAAAGGAUGAUCAGUUGGGCAAUGACUUAUUAUUCCACAUUCACAGAGCUGUGUCAUUUCCUGUCAGCUAAAGGGUGAGGGCUAAGUCCACACAGCAGCAGUAAAUCAUAUUAGCAGUCAGCAUUAAUGAGGAAAAACAGGACCAAAUUCUACAACCCAGACCGAAGUACCCUUACCAAACAGCCUACACAGCUUAUUGCAGUGCCCUUGACAGGACACUCAGCCAUAAUUUUAAAGGAAAAGAAAAGAAAAGAUUCCUCUCCAAGAGAACAGAUUCUUCCCAAACAACAAGUUCAAUCCAUUGACUUUUAUGAGUCUUCUUUCCUCAAUUCCUCUUUCUCCAAAAAAAAACCCGCCUCCUGUUCGGUUGAUGUUAUAUAAGGCCAGCUGAGUUAACCAUCUCAAAAAAGGGACAGUUGGGAAAGUGGCACCGUUCACUACAGAGCAGGUCACAAGUUUACACCCUGCUGUUCUUUUAUUUUUUAAUUUUUUUUCCUGCUGUUAUUUUAUAUUGAACUUCAUGUAUUUGAAGCUACUUCAUACGCACCGUCUCUUAAAUUCUCAGAGAGAAUGCCUGUGACUCGUAUCCAUAUUUUCUGACAUAACGUCUAUGAAAGCAUCAUGCACAUUUUCUGUUUUUAAUGUUAUCUCUGCUCCGUUGACGAUGCUUAUAAGAGACCAGGGCUUUCUCCUCAAGGCACACUUGCUCCUUCAAACACUUCUGCUGGCGUCUGAGGAGAGGCAGGCAACCAUGAAUAAACAAUUAGGAUUAUGCCUUAAAUAUUCCACUGUGAGCCCAGACCUCCCUAAAUACACUGAACCUGAAAAGGGAGGAGGAGGGGAUGCCUGACGUGUGUUUCUAAAGAAGAAUGUUCCAAAGUAGAGGGCAUGUGAUCUUCUAAGCAGCCUUAUUGUGGGACUUAAAGGAAGCAGAUAUUAUCAUUGUCUUGUAAGAAUGAAACUAAGGAAAAGAAUUCAGUCAGUGUUUGCCCAAGGUCAGACAGUGCUUUAGUUUCGCUGGGACUAAAAGUCAAUGUCCUGACUUGUGGGCCAGUGCUCACAGAAAGAACACAGAGCUGUUGUUGUUUAUCAGGUCUGUGCCAUCCCUAGAUGGCUGUUCUCUCUCAGUUAGCCCUCUCUCCAGGCCUGGAAUCAACCUGUUUUGUGUCAGAGGGGAUGCAGUUUCUAUGGGAGGGGGUGCUUCCCUCUAGUAAGUAGAGGGUUGUUAACCACAGAGGAAAGAAUUCUUAAGUUCAGACUUCUUAGGGCGGCUGAAUGCUGAAUGCACACGACGUAGUAACCAAUCCAUAUGGAAAUGUUUGCUAUUUUUUCUCUUCUCUUGAACUUAGGGGUAAUUAGAGAAAGGAGAGAGUAAUAGGAAACAAGAAGAAUAACAAAAGACAGGACAUUAGGUAAUGUAUGAUUCCCUAAAUGGGGCUGCACUCCUUCCAAAUGAAUGUUUUCCUUAGGGAAAACCUUUCAUUGCAAUCUAAAAUUUUAGUCUUUUCUAGGACUUUAGGUAUCAUUUAGAUCUGAAAAUCUCAUUGAGGAUAAGCAGUGUCAUCAAAGUCAUAGUUAGUGAAGUGACAGCUGCAAACGUAGAAUUGGAGCCAUUCAUUCAAAUAAUCAAGUCAUUACCCUGCUUCAAGCCUUCCUGUGUCUGACUACAUAUUGCCCUUAGAAUGAAAUCCAAAUUCUAUGAACCUAUCUCCAAGGCCCAUUUAUUAGCUCCUGUCCUUUUUCUCCUGCUCUCCUAUCUAUUUUCUCCCUCCUUCAGUGGGCCUACUGACUCCAGCCUUCCUUCUGUUUCUUCCACCUGCUGAGUUCUUCUCUGCAUAUAACCUUUUCACUGUCAGUUCCCUUACCUUCCAGUGGACCUUCUCAAGGUUGAUUUGUUCUCACCAUUAAAGACUCAUCCUCCUUAGAGAGGCAUUGCCAGGCCACUGGGUCUAAUCCCCACCUUCCUACGCUUCAUCAUGCCAUCGUGUUUUGUCUUCAUAGAACUUGGCACAUUCAUUCUUAUUUGUGUACUUGCUUACUUCUUUAUUGUCUAUCUCUUGUCUGACAUAUGUACUCUGUGAGAGCAGCAAGCAGGCUGGCUUGUUUACUGUUAUAUCUACAGUUUCUAGAACAGUGCCUGGAAUAUAGCAGGUGCCUAAUAAAUAUUUGUUGAACUAAAUGCUAAAUGAAUUUUUUAAAUAUAUUGAGUAUCUACUACACAGUAGUAGAGACUCAAAGAAGACAAGGAAAUAAUUCUUAGCCUAAAGGGAUUCAAAGCCUGGUGACUUCAGGCAGUUGUUUUUCUACCCUAUUACACAGCCAUUAAAUUUCACUCAGCAGGGACUUCCAUGGUGGUGCGGUAGUUAAGACUCUGCCUGCCCAUGCAGGG
Molecule: long non-coding RNA, 2841 nt
Organism: Aethalodelphis obliquidens (Pacific white-sided dolphin)
Lineage: Eukaryota; Metazoa; Chordata; Mammalia; Artiodactyla; Delphinidae
Exons: 3
Source: RefSeq, a predicted model, not a curated record